Molecule: unclassified non-coding RNA, 345 nt
Filed under: soil metagenome
Description: partial contains 5.8S ribosomal RNA, internal transcribed spacer 2, and large subunit ribosomal RNA
Rfam family: 5.8S ribosomal RNA (bases 1-120)
Source: RNAcentral
GAUGAAGAACGCAGCGAAAUGCGAUACGUAAUGUGAAUUGCAGAAUUCAGUGAAUCAUCGAGUCUUUGAACGCACAUUGCGCCCCCUGGUAUUCCGGGGGGCAUGCCUGUCCGAGCGUCAUUGCUGCCCUCAAGCACGGCUUGUGUGUUGGGCCUCCGCCCCCCGGCUCCCGGGGGGCGGGCCCGAAAGGCAGCGGCGGCACCGCGUCCGGUCCUCGAGCGUAUGGGGCUUCGUCACCCGCUCCGUAGGCCCGGCCGGCGCCCGCCGGCGACCCCCCUCAAUCUUUCCAGGUUGACCUCGGAUCAGGUAGGGAUACCCGCUGAACUUAAGCAUAUCAGCGGAGGA